GAUGAAGAACGUAGCGAAAUGCGAUAAGUAGUGUGAAUUGCAGAAUUCAGUGAAUCAUCGAAUCUUUGAACGCACAUUGCGCCCCUUGGUAUUUCAUGGGGCAUGCCUGUUCGAGCGUCAUUUGUACCUUCAAGCUUUGCUUGGUGUUGGGUGUUUGUCCAUUCUCUUGCAGAGGGACUCGCCUUAAAGUAAUUGGCAGCCAGUGUUUUGGUUUUGAAGCGCAGCACAAGUCGCGAUUCAAAGCUAUACGCCCGCUUCCACAAGCCUUUUUCACUUUUGACCUCGGAUCAGGUAGGGAUACCCGCUGAACUUAAGCAUAUCAAUAAGCGGAGGA
Molecule: unclassified non-coding RNA, 334 nt
Filed under: soil metagenome
Description: partial contains 5.8S ribosomal RNA, internal transcribed spacer 2, and large subunit ribosomal RNA
Rfam family: 5.8S ribosomal RNA (bases 1-120)
Source: RNAcentral